Molecule: transfer RNA, 72 nt
Filed under: Heterocephalus glaber (naked mole-rat)
Lineage: Eukaryota; Metazoa; Chordata; Mammalia; Rodentia; Bathyergidae
Rfam family: tRNA
About the family: Transfer RNA (tRNA) molecules are approximately 80 nucleotides in length. Their secondary structure includes four short double-helical elements and three loops (D, anti-codon, and T loops).
Source: Rfam by way of RNAcentral
GGAGAUGUAGCUAAGUGGUAGAGUACUUGCUUAGCAUGUGAGAGGCCCUGGGUUCAAUCUCCAGCACCAUUA